RNAcentral lists this non-coding RNA (158 nucleotides) under bovine gut metagenome. RNAcentral describes it as "Lysine riboswitch". It matches the Rfam family "Lysine riboswitch aptamer". Rfam says of the family: Riboswitches are metabolite binding domains within certain messenger RNAs that serve as precision sensors for their corresponding targets. Allosteric rearrangement of mRNA structure is mediated by ligand binding, and this results in modulation of gene expression. The record is from RNAcentral.
UGAUAGAGGCGCGGCCGACAUCAGUAGCCCUGGAAACAAGCGACGGGAAUCGCCGGGGUGAAAGGGGACGCCGCCGAAGGGGAUCGGCCCGCCCGGGGCAGGUUCUCUGGGCCGCCGGAGAAGAUCCGGCGGACUGUCGCGAAAGCGGAGCGCUGUCA